UACAGGGGGGGCAAGCGUUGUUCGGAAUUACUGGGCGUAAAGGGCUCGUAGGUGGCCGACUAAGUCAGACGUGAAAUCCCUCAGCUUAACUGGGGAACUGCGUCUGAUACUGGAUGGCUUGAGUUUGGGAGAGGGAUGCGGAAUUCCAGGUGUAGCGGUGAAAUGCGUAGAGAUCGGGAGGAACACCAGUGGCGAAGGCGGCCAUCUGGAUCAACACUGACGCUGAGGCACGAAAGCGUGGGGAGCAAACAGG
Molecule: ribosomal RNA, 253 nt
Filed under: uncultured bacterium
Lineage: Bacteria
Description: partial 16S ribosomal RNA
Rfam family: Bacterial small subunit ribosomal RNA
Source: RNAcentral